RNAcentral lists this ribosomal RNA (1218 nucleotides) under Pectobacterium carotovorum subsp. carotovorum. RNAcentral describes it as "bacterial SSU rRNA". It matches the Rfam family "Bacterial small subunit ribosomal RNA", at positions 1 to 1212 of the family's 1533-position model. Lineage: Bacteria; Pseudomonadati; Pseudomonadota; Gammaproteobacteria; Enterobacterales; Pectobacteriaceae. The record is from RNAcentral.
AUAGUUUUGUACCUGGCUCAGAUUGAACGCUGGCGGCAGGCCUAACACAUGCAAGUCGAGCGGUAGCACAGAAGAGCUUGCUCUUUGGGUGACGAGCGGCGGACGGGUGAGUAAUGUCUGGGAAACUGCCUGAUGGAGGGGGAUAACUACUGGAAACGGUAGCUAAUACCGCAUAACCUCGCAAGAGCAAAGAGGGGGACCUUCGGGCCUCUCGCCAUCAGAUGUGCCCAGAUGGGAUUAGCUAGUAGGUGAGGUAAUGGCUCACCUAGGCGACGAUCCCUAGCUGGUCUGAGAGGAUGACCAGCCACACUGGAACUGAGACACGGUCCAGACUCCUACGGGAGGCAGCAGUGGGGAAUAUUGCACAAUGGGCGCAAGCCUGAUGCAGCCAUGCCGCGUGUGUGAAGAAGGCCUUCGGGUUGUAAAGCACUUUCAGCGAGGAGGAAGGCGGUAAGGUUAAUAACCUUAUCGAUUGACGUUACUCGCAGAAGAAGCACCGGCUAACUCCGUGCCAGCAGCCGCGGUAAUACGGAGGGUGCAAGCGUUAAUCGGAAUGACUGGGCGUAAAGCGCACGCAGGCGGUCUGUUAAGUUGGAUGUGAAAUCCCCGGGCUUAACCUGGGAACUGCAUUCAAAACUGACAGGCUAGAGUCUUGUAGAGGGGGGUAGAAUUCCAGGUGUAGCGGUGAAAUGCGUAGAGAUCUGGAGGAAUACCGGUGGCGAAGGCGGCCCCCUGGACAAAGACUGACGCUCAAGGUGCGAAAGCGUGGGGAGCAAACAGGAUUAGAUACCCUGGUAGUCCACGCUGUAAACGAUGUCGAUUUGGAGGUUGUGCCCUUGAGGCGUGGCUUCCGGAGCUAACGCGUUAAAUCGACCGCCUGGGGAGUACGGCCGCAAGGUUAAAACUCAAAUGAAUUGACGGGGGCCCGCACAAGCGGUGGAGCAUGUGGUUUAAUUCGAUGCAACGCGAAGAACCUUACCUACUCUUGACAUCCACAGAAUUCGGUAGAGAUACCUUAGUGCCUUCGGGAACUGUGAGACAGGUGCUGCAUGGCUGUCGUCAGCUCGUGUUGUGAAAUGUUGGGUUAAGUCCCGCAACGAGCGCAACCCUUAUCCUUUGUUGCCAGCGAUUCGGUCGGGAACUCAAAGGAGACUGCCGGUGAUAAACCGGAGGAAGGUGGGGAUGACUUAAAGUCAUCAUGGCCCCUUUACGAGUAUG